This 851-nucleotide ribosomal RNA is filed under the name Escherichia coli. RNAcentral's name for it is "partial 23S ribosomal RNA". It matches the Rfam family "Bacterial large subunit ribosomal RNA", at positions 419 to 1269 of the family's 2925-position model. The record is from RNAcentral. Lineage: Bacteria; Pseudomonadati; Pseudomonadota; Gammaproteobacteria; Enterobacterales; Enterobacteriaceae.
GGGACACGUGGUAUCCUGUCUGAAUAUGGGGGGACCAUCCUCCAAGGCUAAAUACUCCUGACUGACCGAUAGUGAACCAGUACCGUGAGGGAAAGGCGAAAAGAACCCCGGCGAGGGGAGUGAAAAAGAACCUGAAACCGUGUACGUACAAGCAGUGGGAGCACGCUUAGGCGUGUGACUGCGUACCUUUUGUAUAAUGGGUCAGCGACUUAUAUUCUGUAGCAAGGUUAACCGAAUAGGGGAGCCGAAGGGAAACCGAGUCUUAACUGGGCGUUAAGUUGCAGGGUAUAGACCCGAAACCCGGUGAUCUAGCCAUGGGCAGGUUGAAGGUUGGGUAACACUAACUGGAGGACCGAACCGACUAAUGUUGAAAAAUUAGCGGAUGACUUGUGGCUGGGGGUGAAAGGCCAAUCAAACCGGGAGAUAGCUGGUUCUCCCCGAAAGCUAUUUAGGUAGCGCCUCGUGAAUUCAUCUCCGGGGGUAGAGCACUGUUUCGGCAAGGGGGUCAUCCCGACUUACCAACCCGAUGCAAACUGCGAAUACCGGAGAAUGUUAUCACGGGAGACACACGGCGGGUGCUAACGUCCGUCGUGAAGAGGGAAACAACCCAGACCGCCAGCUAAGGUCCCAAAGUCAUGGUUAAGUGGGAAACGAUGUGGGAAGGCCCAGACAGCCAGGAUGUUGGCUUAGAAGCAGCCAUCAUUUAAAGAAAGCGUAAUAGCUCACUGGUCGAGUCGGCCUGCGCGGAAGAUGUAACGGGGCUAAACCAUGCACCGAAGCUGCGGCAGCGACGCUGAUGCGUUGUUGGGUAGGGGAGCGUUCUGUAAGCCUGUGAAGGUGUGCUGUGAGGC